UGAACGCUGGCGGCAUGCCUUACACAUGCAAGUCGAACGGCAGCACGGGUGCUUGCACCUGGUGGCGAGUGGCGAACGGGUGAGUAAUACAUCGGAACAUGUCCUGUAGUGGGGGAUAGCCCGGCGAAAGCCGGAUUAAUACCGCAUACGAUCUACGGAUGAAAGCGGGGGACCUUCGGGCCUCGCGCUAUAGGGUUGGCCGAUGGCUGAUUAGCUAGUUGGUGGGGUAAAGGCCUACCAAGGCGACGAUCAGUAGCUGGUCUGAGAGGACGACCAGCCACACUGGGACUGAGACACGGCCCAGACUCCUACGGGAGGCAGCAGUGGGGAAUUUUGGACAAUGGGCGAAAGCCUGAUCCAGCAAUGCCGCGUGUGUGAAGAAGGCCUUCGGGUUGUAAAGCACUUUUGUCCGGAAAGAAAUCCUUGGCUCUAAUACAGUCGGGGGAUGACGGUACCGGAAGAAUAAGCACCGGCUAACUACGUGCCAGCAGCCGCGGUAAUACGUAGGGUGCGAGCGUUAAUCGGAAUUACUGGGCGUAAAGCGUGCGCAGGCGGUUUGCUAAGACCGAUGUGAAAUCCCCGGGCUCAACCUGGGGAACUGCAUUGGUGACUGGCAGGCUAGAGUAUGGCAGAGGGGGGUAGAAUUCCACGUGUAGCAGUGAAAUGCGUAGAGAUGUGGAGGAAUACCGAUGGCGAAGGCAGCCCCCUGGGCCAAUACUGACGCUCAUGCACGAAAGCGUGGGGGAGCAAACAGGAUUAGAUACCCUGGUAGUCCACGCCCUAAACGAUGUCAACUAGUUGUUGGGGAUUCAUUUCCUUAGUAACGUAGCUAACGCGUGAAGUUGACCGCCUGGGGAGUACGGUCGCAAGAUUAAAACUCAAAGGAAUUGACGGGGACCCGCACAAGCGGUGGAUGAUGUGGAUUAAUUCGAUGCAACGCGAAAAACCUUACCUACCCUUGACAUGGUCGGAAUCCCGCUGAGAGGUGGGAGUGCUCGAAAGAGAACCGGCGCACAGGUGCUGCAUGGCUGUCGUCAGCUCGUGUCGUGAGAUGUUGGGUUAAGUCCCGCAACGAGCGCAACCCUUGUCCUUAGUUGCUACGCAAGAGCACUCUAAGGAGACUGCCGGUGACAAACCGGAGGAAGGUGGGGAUGACGUCAAGUCCUCAUGGCCCUUAUGGGUAGGGCUUCACACGUCAUACAAUGGUCGGAACAGAGGGUUGCCAACCCGCGAGGGGGAGCUAAUCCCAGAAAACCGAUCGUAGUCCGGAUUGCACUCUGCAACUCGAGUGCAUGAAGCUGGAAUCGCUAGUAAUCGCGGAUCAGCAUGCCGCGGUGAAUACGUUCCCGGGUCUUGUACUCACCGCCCGUCA
Molecule: ribosomal RNA, 1372 nt
Filed under: uncultured beta proteobacterium
Lineage: Bacteria; Pseudomonadati; Pseudomonadota; Betaproteobacteria
Description: 16S ribosomal RNA
Rfam family: Bacterial small subunit ribosomal RNA
Source: RNAcentral